RNAcentral lists this non-coding RNA (28 nucleotides) under Mus musculus (house mouse). Lineage: Eukaryota; Metazoa; Chordata; Mammalia; Rodentia; Muridae. RNAcentral also lists the same sequence under 1 other name. The record is from RNAcentral.
UGAGAGUUGAGGAAAAGCUGAGAUGCCC